AUUGAUCUGGCCUUUAGAAGUAACUGAAAAGCUGAAAGAGCAGUGUUUAGAGACCCAGGUCUUCUCGGUGCUGUGGAAGUCUCAGAGGUUUAAAUGCUUGAGGAUUGCCAUCUUCUGGUGUCACCAAGCCCUGCUUCAUGCAGUCUCUCACCAUGUGACAUGGAGAACAUGCUGCUUGUUUUUCUACAUAAUUAGGUGUGAUGCCUAGAGAAUGGAUGUGACAUAUUAGCAGCCAGAAUAACAGAGCAGCAACAUGUCACUUGUUCUACAUCUGAUUAAGAUAAACUUUUCCAUCAGAAAACUGCAGAAGGUAGCUAUUUGUAGUUAUGCCUGCUUCUAAUAUUCGUGUGAAGAGAUGGCUCACAUGGAGACUUCUGCAGGGGACAAGGCGGAACAGUGUGGCCAGAAUCUGAUUUUCCUACCAGCAACAGGAAUCUGUUGCUACACCUGAGGACAGAUCCCUACCUGAGUGCAAAUGGCUGCAGAAACGUUGACAGCAGUGGAGUGAAAUGGGGGCAAUUCCCAUCAAUGUCAAGACCAAGUUAAG
Molecule: long non-coding RNA, 547 nt
Organism: Oxyura jamaicensis (ruddy duck)
Lineage: Eukaryota; Metazoa; Chordata; Aves; Anseriformes; Anatidae
Exons: 4
Source: RefSeq, a predicted model, not a curated record